Long non-coding RNA from Xiphophorus couchianus (Monterrey platyfish), 1378 nucleotides. RefSeq lists it as uncharacterized. NCBI's taxonomy places the organism in Eukaryota, Metazoa, Chordata, Actinopteri, Cyprinodontiformes, Poeciliidae. The record is from RefSeq and is a predicted model, not a curated record. The transcript is spliced from 2 exons.
AUGUUUCUCUUUCUUUGUAAUGUUAGCUAUGAGCAAUUCGUGCUAAUGCUACUUUGCUGUAAGUUAAUGUAAGGUAAAGGUAUUACACUCCAUAACUGUAAGGUUAACCUUUAAUUUUAAACGUAUUUUAAAGGCAGGCAAAUAGAUUUUUUCCCUCCAAUUUUAAUCGAGCAAAUUAAGAGCUGCUAUGUUAGUGAAAUUUAUCCUUAUUUAGAAACUUGGCUGAUGUGACAUAGUGCUUGUGUUCGUGGCUUUGUCGACUUUAUCCACAUGAAGACCCAUUUUAUCCUAAGGACACAUGAUAGUUGGGGGCUGGGUGCGACAGAGGUUGCUAAUGCUCUUCAUUAUCGAGGACCAGGCACCAGAGGAAGAAGUCUCUGUUUGACCAAAGAGAAAGAAGCAGAUGAAAUAUUCCCCAAUAAAAUUAUUUAAGUCAUUUUUGUGUUACUAUUUUCUCCAGGUGAAGGAGGAUGAAAGGGAAAGUGACCACAGUGGAUUGAGUCAUCACCCACUAUGAGAAUGUCCAGAAGAGAUUGACCAAGUUUGAAUUCAUGAAGAGGCUUUCACCAUGAUUAACAUUGACCACAACCAUUGCAAGAACAGCUAUAAUUUCUGAGCAUUUCCGGACACUUUCAAAGAACUGUUUCCAGGAAAGAAGAUCUCCCUGUUUUCAGAGCAUUACAGGAAGGCUAUAACAAAGGAGAUGGCUGAUGCAAUCAAAGCAAAAAAAAAGAUGUUAGGACUGUUGAAAGAACCCUUUUUCAUAAGUUAAAGAAUAAGUAAUUCUGUUUUAGUUUUUUAAUCAGUAUUUCAGAAUUACAAUAUGCUGACCAGAAGUUGAACCCUUCUGCACAAGAAGUGCAAGUAAUCCUUUGUUUUAUUCCAUUGUACAAAGGGUUUGUUCUAUAGCUAUGAUGGUAGUUAUAAAUAGUCCACUGUAUUCCACUUUACUUGUGAUAAAACUCUGUUAGUAUAGCAUUUGACACUGUAAUAACACUUAAUGUUACUACAUUAAGUGUAGGAACACUUAAUGUAGUAUUAAUUACUAUACUACAUUGGUGUAGUAACACUUAUGUUACCCCAUUAAGUGUUAUGACAUCUUCAUAAGUCUUGCUAUUUGUUUCACGUUACUUGAGGAAAGAGGAAUUAUUAAUGACUUUGUUAUUAAGUCAUUUGACAGUGUAAUAAAACUUAAUGACAUCUUUCUUAUUGAUCCUACUUGUUCCACUUUAUUUCAGGUGAGGUAAAUAUUAAUGACUGUGUUGUUAAAGCUUUUGACAGUGUAAUAACACUUAAUGACAUCUGUAACUACUCCAAUGUUUAAGGGAAUAUAUUAAUCACGCAAUUAUAAUGACCUUAUAACUGUCACAGUUAAGAC